RNAcentral lists this ribosomal RNA (274 nucleotides) under uncultured bacterium. RNAcentral's name for it is "partial 16S ribosomal RNA". It matches the Rfam family "Bacterial small subunit ribosomal RNA", at positions 523 to 796 of the family's 1533-position model. The record is from RNAcentral.
AUACGGAGGGUGCGAGCGUUAAUCGGAAUUACUGGGCGUAAAGCGCACGUAGGCGGCGCACGCAGUCAGAGGUGAAAGGCCUGGGCUCAACCCAGGAACUGCCUUUGAUACUGGUGUGCUAGAGUCCGGGAGAGGGUAGCGGAAUUCCCAGUGUAGAGGUGAAAUUCGUAGAUAUUGGGAAGAACACCGGUUGCGAAGGCGGCUACCUGGAACGGUACUGACGCUGAGGUGCGAAAGCGUGGGGAGCAAACAGGAUUAGAAACCCCAGUAGUCC